RNAcentral lists this long non-coding RNA (2518 nucleotides) under Oreochromis niloticus (Nile tilapia). RNAcentral's name for it is "lncRNA (ENSONIG00000022379.2)". Lineage: Eukaryota; Metazoa; Chordata; Actinopteri; Cichliformes; Cichlidae. The record is from RNAcentral.
AUGGCCUCUGGUUUUUGUAUUUCCAGGGUGCUGUUGCUCUCACUGUUGGCCUUCAGCAAGCAUGCUGAGUCUCUUACUUACAGGAGUACCUACUCCAGUGGUAUUAAGCCUUACUCUGGGAUGGCUGAGAAUUUUCCACACAACCAGAAUCCUGUUUUCAGACAUAAGAGCUAUGCACAACCCCGAAGUUCUCUGGGUGUUUAUGGGCCUGAACAUGGGUCACCUGAGAAUUCUUACCCCACUGCUGCAGGUAUGCCUGGUGGUGCUGGUGCUUCCUCUGGUGGGCCAUUAAAUGGUUACCAUCAACAAGGAAGCAUGUCUAGCUACAGAUCUGGCUCAUCACAUUACCAGGGGGAUACUGAUGGUGCCCUCCAGUCCAAAGAUGCCAUGUGGGGUUUAGCUUCACCCCAGAAAAGAAACCGGAUUGACACAGGAAUUGUCUCAAGUUAUCCAAUUGAGAUGCGUUCUGUGCCCCAGUGGCAAAGUAAUGAGCACCAGACCCAGCCACACCCUGAGCGAGAACAGUUUAGCGACUUUCAGUCUCGCCCGCUGCCCCAGCAGCCGCGCUACGAGGCCAGCAAGCCCCAGGCCCAGGCCCGGCCUUUCCCCCAGCAGCCGCGCUACGAGGCCAGCAAGCCCCAGGCCCGGCCUUUCCCCCAGCAGCCGCGCUACGAGGCCAGCAAGCCCCAGGCCCAUCCGCGCAGUGAGGCCAAUUCUCCAAGUGAAGAUGUGCUGCAAAACAAAGCUAGCAUGUGGGACUUGGCUAUUAACUCCAAUGCUGAUCCAAGAAGUUUGAGACCCAUUCAAGUUUCAUCAAGUUAUCUCUACAGCUGGCCACAGCAACAGGCACCCUUCUACAACAGAUAUUAACAAUAGGUUUCUGACCUCACCUGUGAACAGCUGGUUUUGGCUUGGCAUCAGAUUUUGUGAUAUCAAUAAAGUACACAGAACUACACUCCCUGGCUGCUGUUUAAAGCUCCUUUGACCAUGAGUAAGUUCAGUUUUAUGCAUGCUCUCAUGAUAAACUGAGCUGCUCUAUAGAUCUAGGCUUGUACUGUUGCUACCAUAAUGUUGCCUUCCAGUAUACAAACUGAAGCUGUAAGCCCCAAAGACUGUCACAGAAUUGUCUUACAGUUGUGUAGCUUAGCAAAGCAAAUCUGCUUAGCUUGUCUUAAUGUUUCAACAAGUGUUCAGUGUUCACAACCACAAUUUUCACUUCAAGAACAAGGGGUGGAAACAUGGCAGUUUAAUGCCUUCUAUCAAUGGCAAAAAUUACAGUCCACUCAGGACUACAACCAACCAGAUGCUAAACGAAAAAUGGUGGUAGUCUGCCAAGCAGGUGCUCACUAUCAGGGAAAAUUAGGGAUUAGCAUCAACCAAGGCAGCUCAAAGCACAAGCAGCAAUAUAGCUUUGAAAGGUGUGGGUGUCAGUUUUUGGGUCCCAAUUGUGAACUAUGACCAUUCCUUCAACAUCAGUGUCACAUUAGCUGUUCUCUUUUUCUGCCUUAAAGUAAAUUGUCCUAAUGGGCUCAUAUUAAAGUUUGUUUUUAUUCUAUAGAGAUUCUCAUCUCACUAUUCAUGUGCCAUAUUUGUCCUUAUGCAAGAAGACUUGAGUCUUGAGUAUUAAUAUAAAUAUCUCAUGGAUUUAUGAUAUUCAUCAAAUGCUACUUCUUUGUCUUUUCACUUUUCUGCUGCUUCUUGCCCAAACACCGUCCCACCCCUCCUCCUCUCUGAUAGCUGUUAUUAGUUUAGUCGUCUCCAGUUUGGGGAGAUAAUGACAGUGCUGUUUUUUGGACACUGACUUCCUGUGUGUGUGGUGUUUCUCCCUGUCAUUAAGCAGCAAGUCUGUGUGGUUAAAAUGACACAGCUUUGACUGCAGGAAACACUGCCAACUUCACCAUCCGAUCCCAGCUCCAAUAAACUACUCACUGCUGGUUUUCAGCUUUCAUACUGUCUGUUGCUUGUUUGGGGGUUUCAGCAUAUUUUCCUUUACUUGAGUUUUACAAUAAAGAUAUUAUAGAUAUUUUAUAGCACACUGCUUACAGUACACUGUUGUGGUCUUUGCUUUACAUCAAAUGAAAAUGCACUUUAGUCAAAAGCACAUUGCACUUCAUCUGCAGUGACAUAUUUGUUGUAUGGAUCUUUUACUGGACGUCCCACAAUGUCAUUUAUACAGCGCCAAAUCGCAACAACAGUCACCUCAAGGCGCUUUAUAUUGUAAGGUUAACCCUACAAUAAUACAUACAGAGAAAAACCCAACAAUCAUAUGACCCCCUAUGAGCAAGCACUUUGGCAACAGUGGGAAGGAAAAACUCCCUUUUAACAGGAAGAAACCUCCGGCAGAAACUGCAUGAAAGGCUGUGGUUUGCAAGGUACCAGAUGUAAAGCAACCAAGGCAGAUACAGCUGCUUAAAUCAGUCAAACUCUAUUGAACAUUACUUUUCAAAGUGUUUCACAGAUUAUUAAAAAGCUGAUAAAACAAAUGGCAUGCUUUAAUAACGGACAUAGAAUUAACAAC